This 254-nucleotide ribosomal RNA is filed under the name uncultured bacterium. RNAcentral's name for it is "partial 16S ribosomal RNA". It matches the Rfam family "Bacterial small subunit ribosomal RNA", at positions 524 to 776 of the family's 1533-position model. The record is from RNAcentral.
UACGGGGGGAGCAAGCGUUGUUCGGAUUUACUGGGCGUAAAGGGCGCGUAGGCGGCCAGCACAAGUCAGUUGUGAAAUCUCCGGGCUUAACUCGGAAAGGUCAACUGAUACUGUGCGGCUAGAGUGCAGAAGGGGCAACUGGAAUUCUCGGUGUAGCGGUGAAAUGCGUAGAUAUCGAGAGGAACACCUGUGGCGAAGGCGCCUUGCUGGCCGACUUCUGACGCUGAGGCGCGAAAGCGUGGGGAGCAAACAGG